RNAcentral lists this ribosomal RNA (388 nucleotides) under Agaricomycetes sp. Its description in RNAcentral is "partial small subunit ribosomal RNA". It matches the Rfam family "Eukaryotic small subunit ribosomal RNA", at positions 582 to 975 of the family's 1831-position model. The record is from RNAcentral. Lineage: Eukaryota; Fungi; Basidiomycota; Agaricomycetes.
AUUCCAGCUCCAAUAGCGUAUAUUAAAGUUGUUGCAGUUAAAAAGCUCGUAGUUGAACUUCAGACCUGGCCGGGCGGUCUGCCUAACGGUAUGUACUGUCUGGCUGGGUCUUACCUCUUGGUGAGCCGGCAUGCCCUUCACUGGGUGUGUCGGGGAACCAGGACUUUUACCUUGAGAAAAUUAGAGUGUUCAAAGCAGGCCUACGCCCGAAUACAUUAGCAUGGAAUAAUAAAAUAGGACGUGCGGUUCUAUUUUGUUGGUUUCUAGAGUCGCCGCAAUGAUUAAUAGGGAUAGUUGGGGGCAUUAGUAUUCAGUUGCUAGAGGUGAAAUUCUUGGAUUUACUGAAGACUAACUACUGCGAAAGCAUUUGCCAAGGAUGUUUUCAUCA